RNAcentral lists this ribosomal RNA (274 nucleotides) under uncultured bacterium. RNAcentral describes it as "partial 16S ribosomal RNA". It matches the Rfam family "Bacterial small subunit ribosomal RNA", at positions 523 to 796 of the family's 1533-position model. The record is from RNAcentral.
AUACGGAGGGUGCAAGCGUUACUCGGAAUCACUGGGCGUAAAGCGCGCGCAGGCGGGCUGACAAGUUGGAUGUGAAAGCCUACGGCUCAACCGUAGAACUGCAUCCAAAACUGUCAGUCUAGAGUCUGGGAGGGGAAGAUGGAAUUAGUUGUGUAGGGGUAAAAUCCGUAGAGAUAACUAGGAAUACCAAAAGCGAAGGCGAUCUUCUGGAACAGUACUGACGCUGAGGCGCGAAAGCGUGGGGAGCAAACAGGAUUAGAAACCCUUGUAGUCC